RNAcentral lists this ribosomal RNA (251 nucleotides) under uncultured bacterium. RNAcentral's name for it is "partial 16S ribosomal RNA". It matches the Rfam family "Bacterial small subunit ribosomal RNA", at positions 524 to 776 of the family's 1533-position model. The record is from RNAcentral.
UACGUAGGGCGCAAGCGUUAUCCGGAAUUAUUGGGCGUAAAGAGCUCGUAGGCGGUUUGUCGCGUCUGCCGUGAAGUCCGGGCUCAACUCCGGAUCUGCGGUGGUACGGGCAGACUAGAGUGAUGUAGGGGAGACUGGAAUUCCUGGUGUAGCGGUGAAAUGCGCAGAUAUCAGGAGGAACACCGAUGGCGAAGGCAGGUCUCGUGGGCAUUAACUGACGCUGAGGAGCGAAAGCAUGGGGAGCGAACAGG